RNAcentral lists this ribosomal RNA (657 nucleotides) under Triticum aestivum (bread wheat). RNAcentral describes it as "partial small subunit ribosomal RNA". The record is from RNAcentral. Lineage: Eukaryota; Viridiplantae; Streptophyta; Magnoliopsida; Poales; Poaceae.
AUGUUACCAGUAGUAAUUAACUACGCCGGCCAGUUAUACGAUAUAGAAUUGGCCGCUGCUACAAAUCAUCCGACUUAUUUCCUCCGAAAAUCAGUCGGGUCCGUAGCCCUCCGAUUCAGCCGUAGAUGGGGUCAACGCAUCAGCCCGCUCUCGUCUUUCUCCUCCCGAGUCAACAAACCCAAAUAUCGCACUCAGCAGCCUGUCAUCCCCUGGCCGACCUCUCUGUUGCCGCCAAAAAGCGUCGCCGCUUCAGGACUGCUGCAGAGUAGGAGAACCACUCCGUGGCCGGCGACGACGUGGCUUCAAUGCAGCACUGGUGGCCGGCGACGACGUGGCUUCAUUGCAGCGCCGGUGUCUUCAUUGGAGCACCGCUGGCCGGCGACGUGGCUUCAUUGCAGCGCCGGUGGCUUCAUUGGAGCGCCGGUGGCCGAUGACGAGGGCUUCAUUGCAGCUCCGAUGAAGCUCCAUUGCAGCCGCGGCGGAGCUCCAACGACCCGGACGACGCUCCAUUGCAGCCGCAGCGGAGCUCCAACGACCCGGACGACGCUCCAUUGCAGCCCCGGGCGCGCUUCAUUGGAGCGCCGGCGACAACGGCGGAUGUUGCUACGCAGCACGCGGCAGUCGUGGUGGAAGCGGCGACGUAGCACGCGCCGGUGA